GAUGAACGCUGGCGGCGUGCCUAAUACAUGCAAGUCGAGCGAAUGGAUUAAGAGCUUGCUCUUAUGAAGUUAGCGGCGGACGGGUGAGUAACACGUGGGUAACCUGCCCAUAAGACUGGGAUAACUCCGGGAAACCGGGGCUAAUACCGGAUAACAUUUUGAAUCGCAUGGUUCGAAAUUGAAAGGCGGCUUCGGCUGUCACUUAUGGAUGGACCCGCGUCGCAUUAGCUAGUUGGUGAGGUAACGGCUCACCAAGGCAACGAUGCGUAGCCGACCUGAGGGGGUGAUCGGCCACACUGGGACUGGGACACGGCCCAGACUCCUACGGGAGGCAGCAGUAGGGAAUCUUCCGCAAUGGACGAAAGUCUGACGGAGCAACGCCGCGUGAGUGAUGAAGGCUUUCGGGUCGUAAAACUCUGUUGUUAGGGAAGAACAAGUGCUAGUUGAAUAAGCUGGCACCUUGACGGUACCUAACCAGAAAGCCACGGCUAACUACGUGCCAGCCGCCGCAGUAA
This 515-nucleotide ribosomal RNA is filed under the name uncultured bacterium. Its description in RNAcentral is "partial 16S ribosomal RNA". It matches the Rfam family "Bacterial small subunit ribosomal RNA", at positions 28 to 523 of the family's 1533-position model. The record is from RNAcentral.